UGGAAGGACCAUGUGUGCCCUGGUCUC
This 27-nucleotide non-coding RNA is filed under the name Mus musculus (house mouse). The record is from RNAcentral. Lineage: Eukaryota; Metazoa; Chordata; Mammalia; Rodentia; Muridae.